RNAcentral lists this ribosomal RNA (484 nucleotides) under uncultured bacterium. RNAcentral's name for it is "partial 16S ribosomal RNA". It matches the Rfam family "Bacterial small subunit ribosomal RNA", at positions 30 to 507 of the family's 1533-position model. The record is from RNAcentral.
AUUGAACGCUCGCGGUAUGCUUUACACAUGCAAGUCGAACGGCAGCGCGGUCAUCGGUCUCUCGGCGAGUGGGGAACGGGCGGGUGAUGGAUCGGAACGUGCCCAGUAACUGGGGCUAACUACGCUAAGUCGUGGCUCAUACCCCAUACGCCCUACGGGGCUACGGAGGGGAGCGUAAGACCUUGGAAUAUUGCCGCGGCCGAUGUCGGAUUAGCUAGUUGGUGAGGUAACGGCUCACCAAGGCGACGAUCCGUAGCUGGUUUGAGAGGACGACCAGCCACACUGGGACUGAGACACGGCCCAGACUCCUACGGGAGGCAGCAGUGGGGAAUUUUGGACAAUGGGGGCAAGCCUGAUCCAGCCAUCCCGCGUGGGCGAUGAAGGCCUUCGGGUUGUAAAGCCCUUUUGGCAGGAAAGAAACGUCGCGGGCUAAUACCCCGUGGAACUGACGGUACCUGCAGAAUAAGCACCGGCUAACUACGUG